CCCCUGAUAGCUCAGUUGGUAAAGAAUCUGCAUGCAAUGCAGGAGACCCGGGUUCGAUUCCUGGGUGGGGAA
Molecule: transfer RNA, 72 nt
Filed under: Ovis aries (sheep)
Lineage: Eukaryota; Metazoa; Chordata; Mammalia; Artiodactyla; Bovidae
Rfam family: tRNA
About the family: Transfer RNA (tRNA) molecules are approximately 80 nucleotides in length. Their secondary structure includes four short double-helical elements and three loops (D, anti-codon, and T loops).
Source: Rfam by way of RNAcentral